RNAcentral lists this ribosomal RNA (445 nucleotides) under uncultured bacterium. RNAcentral's name for it is "bacterial SSU rRNA". It matches the Rfam family "Bacterial small subunit ribosomal RNA", at positions 354 to 796 of the family's 1533-position model. The record is from RNAcentral.
GUAGGGAAUAUUGGUCAAUGGACGAAAGUCUGAACCAGCCAUUCCGCGUGCAGGAAGAAGAUUCUAUGGAUUGUAAACUGCUUUUAGCAGAGAAGAAACGCCUUCAUUGAUGAGGGUUUGACGGUAUCUGCGGAAUAAGCACCGGCUAACUCCGUGCCAGCAGCCGCGGUAAUACGGGGGGUGCAAGCGUUAUCCGGAAUCACUGGGUUUAAAGGGUGCGUAGGCGGGAAAUUAAGUCAGUGGUGAAAGUCUGUUGCUUAACGAUAGAAUUGCCGUUGAUACUGAUUUUCUUGAAUUGGGUUGAGGUUAGCGGAAUGUGACAUGUAGCGGUGAAAUGCAUAGAUAUCAUCCAGAACACCGAUUGCGAAGGCAGGUGGCUGUACCUUAAUCGACGCUGAUGCACGAAAGCAUGGGGAGCAAACAGGAUUAGAAACCCCAGUAGUCC